AGUGAACGCUGGCGGUAGGCCUAACACAUGCAAGUCGAACGGCAGCACAGUAAGAGCUUGCUCUUACGGGUGGCGAGUGGCGGACGGGUGAGGAAUACAUCGGAAUCUACUUUUUCGUGGGGGAUAACGUAGGGAAACUUACGCUAAUAACGCAUACGACCUACGGGUGAAAGCAGAGGAUCUUCGGACCUUGCGCGAUUGAAUGAGCCGAUGUCGGAUUAGCUAGUUGGCGGGGUAAAGGCCCACCAAGGCGACGAUCCGUAGCUGGUCUGAGAGGAUGAUCAGCCACACUGGAACUGAGACACGGUCCAGACUCCUACGGGAGGCAGCAGUGGGGAAUAUUGGACAAUGGGCGCAAGCCUGAUCCAGCCAUACCGCGUGGGUGAAGAAGGCCUUCGGGUUGUAAAGCCCUUUUGUUGGGAAAGAAAAGCAGCAGGUUAAUACCACGCUGUUCUGACGGUACCCAAAGAAUAAGCACCGGCUAACUUCGUG
This 492-nucleotide ribosomal RNA is filed under the name uncultured bacterium. RNAcentral describes it as "partial 16S ribosomal RNA". It matches the Rfam family "Bacterial small subunit ribosomal RNA", at positions 29 to 507 of the family's 1533-position model. The record is from RNAcentral.